GACGAACGCUGGCGGCGUGCUUAACACAUGCAAGUCGAACGGAAAGGCCCCUUUGGGGGUACUCGAGUGGCGAACGGGUGAGUAACACGUGAGUAACCUGCCCUUGACUUCGGGAUAACUUCAGGAAACUGGGGCUAAUACCGGAUAGGAAUCCUUGCUGCAUGGUGGGGGUUGGAAAGCUUCGGCGGUUUUGGAUGGACUCGCGGCUUAUCAGCUUGUUGGUGGGGUAGUGGCUUACCAAGGCUUUGACGGGUAGCCGGCCUGAGAGGGCGACCGGCCACAUUGGGACUGAAAUACGGCCCAGACUCCUACGGGAGGCAGCAGUGGGGAAUAUUGCACAAUGGGCGUAAGCCUGAUGCAGCAACGCCGCGGGCGGGAGGACGGCCUUCGGGUUGUAAACCGCUUUCAGCAGGGGCGAAGCUUGUGGUGACGGUACCUGCAGAAGAAGCACCGGCUAACUACGUG
RNAcentral lists this ribosomal RNA (465 nucleotides) under uncultured bacterium. RNAcentral describes it as "partial 16S ribosomal RNA". It matches the Rfam family "Bacterial small subunit ribosomal RNA", at positions 28 to 507 of the family's 1533-position model. The record is from RNAcentral.